This is a long non-coding RNA of Oncorhynchus keta (chum salmon), 1888 nucleotides long. RefSeq lists it as uncharacterized. The record is from RefSeq and is a predicted model, not a curated record. The transcript is spliced from 3 exons. NCBI's taxonomy places the organism in Eukaryota, Metazoa, Chordata, Actinopteri, Salmoniformes, Salmonidae.
AAGAGAGAAUUAGAGAGAGCAUAUGUGGGGUGGCCAGUCCUCUUCUGGCUGUGCCGGGUGGAGAUUAUAACAGAACGUGGCCAAGAUGUUCAAAUGUUCAUAAAUGACCAGCAUGGUUGAAUAAUAGUAAGGCAGAACAGUUGAAACUGGAGCAGCAGCAUGGCCAGGUGGACUGGGGACAGCAAGGAGUCAUCAUGUCAGGUAGUCCUGGGGCAUGGUCCUAGGGCUCAGGUCCUCCGAGAGAGAGAAAGAAAGAGAGGAGAGAAUUAGAGAACGCACACUUAGAUUCACACAGGACACCGAAUAGGACAGGAGAACACCGAAUAGGACAGGUAGAGAGAUGCAGAGAGAGACGGAGGUAGAGAGAUGCAGAGAGAGACGGAGGUAGAGCGAUGCAGAGAGAGAUGGAGGACAGAUGCAGAGAGAGAGAGAGAGAGAUGCAGAGAGAGACGGAGGUAGAGAGAUGCAGAGAGAGAUGGAGGUAGAGAGAGAUGGAGGUAGAGAGAUGCAGAGAGAGAUGGAGGUAGAGAGAGAUGGAGGUAGAGAGAUGCAGAGAGAGACGGAGGUAGAGAGAUGCAGAGAGAGACGGAGGUAGAGAGAUGCAGAGAGAGACGGAGGUAGAGAGAUGCAGAGAGAGACGGAGGUAGAGAGAUGCAGAGAGAGACGGAGGUAGAGAGAUGCAGAGAGAGACGGAGGUAGAGAGAUGCAGAGAGAGACGGAGGUAGAGAGAGAUGGAGGUAGAGAGAGAUGGAGGUAGAGAGAUGCAGAGAGAGACGGAGGUAGAGAGAUGCAGAGAGAGACGGAGGUAGAGAGAUGCAGAGAGAGACGGAGGUAGAGAGAUGCAGAGAGAGACGGAGGUAGAGAGAUGCAGAGAGAGACGGAGGUAGAGAGAUGCAGAGAGAGACGGAGGUAGAGAGAUGCAGAGAGAGACGGAGGUAGAGAGAUGCAGAGAGAGACGGAGGUAGAGAGAUGCAGAGAGAGACGGAGGUAGAGAGAUGCAGAGAGAGAUGGAGGUAGAGAGAUGCAGAGAGAGAUGGAGGUAGAGAGAUGCAGAGAGAGACGGAGGUAGAGAGAUGCAGAGAGAGACAGAGGUAGAGAGAUGCAGAGAGAUGGAGGUAGAGAGAUGCAGAGAGAGAGAGUGUCUGGCUGUGCUGAUUUUCCAUUAGUUUCACAGCUGAUUAACUGACCUGACUACAGUCACAGUAACAACACCUGUCUCUUCCCCGAUGAAUCACACUUUGAAUGCAUCCCAAAUGGAACCCUAUACCCUAUAUAGUCUAUGGUCAAAAGUAGUGCACUAUAUAGGAAAUAGAGUGCCAUUUUGUACACAUCCUUGGAUCAGCACUCGUCUCUAUUUGCACCAGACUCUAAAAUACCCAAAUGAUUACUCCCAUCUUAUUAUCAGGAUGGCUGAACCUUUACGUGAUGAUUGAUUAAGCUCCGAGCAACACAACAACUAUAAACAGAGAGACGUAUAUAGACAGUGGAUCAUUUCCAUUGAGCCAAAAGCAGAACAUGGGUCCUAGACGGCAUCCUAUUCCAAUAUAGUGGUGAUAGGGCCCUGGUCAAAAGUAGUGCACUAUAAAGGAAUAGGGUAUCAUGGGCCCUGGUCAAAAGUAGUGCACUAUAAAGGAAUAGGGUAUCAUGGGCCCUGGUCAAAAGUAGUGCACUAUAAAGGAAUAGGGUAUCAUGGGCCCUGGUCAAAAGUAGUGCACUAUAAAGGAAUAGGGUAUCAUGGGCCCUGGUCAAAAGUAGUGCACUAUAAAGGGGAAAGGGUUCCAUUUGGUAUUCAUAAAUGUUAUCAUCAGCUGUAGGUUUGACUCUGACCUGUUUCUUCCUGACACAUACGUUAGUCAGCCUGGUAUGUGAGACACAGCUAAGCGCCCGG